RNAcentral lists this ribosomal RNA (253 nucleotides) under uncultured bacterium. Its description in RNAcentral is "partial 16S ribosomal RNA". It matches the Rfam family "Bacterial small subunit ribosomal RNA", at positions 524 to 776 of the family's 1533-position model. The record is from RNAcentral.
UACGAAGGGGGCUAGCGUUGCUCGGAAUCACUGGGCGUAAAGGGCGCGUAGGCGGAUCUUUAAGUCGGGGGUGAAAGCCUGUGGCUCAACCACAGAAUUGCCUUCGAUACUGGGGAUCUCGAGACCGGAAGAGGUGAGUGGAACUGCGAGUGUAGAGGUGAAAUUCGUAGAUAUCGUAAGGAAGACCAGUGGCGAAGGCGGGUCUCUGGACAGUUCCUGACGCUGAGACACGAAGGCCAGGGGAGCAAACGGG